CGUCCAGCCAAAUAUAUCCAUGAAAAAAUAAUUUACAAGCACAACCGGUGCCACACCCCGAGCAAGCAGCAGAACUCGCACUGCAACAGAAGUGCCCGGUAACAAGUGCAUUCAGUGAAAACUCUGCCUAAUUCCUGUUUUACAUGACUGUAAACAUCACCUCACCGCGCCGCUACCAUAAAUGGUCCGCGGCAGCACAGAUAAAGCCGUCACCGCUGUUAUAUCGGUAUCACUUUUCUCCCGUGACUGAUACAUGGCAAGAUCAAGGGCUGCAGACAGAUGAAGACCACAAAUGUUCCAGCUGACCUCACUUUCCAAAAUGCAUCAUUCCUCCAAAUAAACAUCAUCAAACAUAAGCAGGCUGUCAAAUUACAGAAUUAAAACAUAAUCCUGCAUUACUCAAGUGACUCGUUGCUUAUUAGCAGGUCUACUGACUCCAGGAAACUAUUUACAUGAAUAAAGAUUUCUGGGGUUGUGCUUUUGCAACAUAUUCCAAAGCCAGCCCGUAAAGUAAAUAGUCUGAUUAACUGACUCCUAGUUUAGGCGGCUGUUUUACCGUGACAGAGAGAAGUUUUAUCUUAAUGGAGAAUAUCUCACACUCCCCCUCAAACGGCAGCACACGGGAGCGGAGCCUGGUUUAACUCCGGCGAGCCCUGAAUCACAUCCGAGCCUAUUUUAGAAUUAAACGGAAGAUGACCUCGUUACCUGGGUCCCUCCAACCUCGCCUGGAAAGCACUUGAGGACGGAGCCAGGGUUUGCUAUCAGCAGCUAAAGCCCAACGAUGUUAAAAACAAAACCCAAACUGAACAAAAACCCCCUUUUGUCGCAUUGGUGUAAGGUCCUGUUGCUAAUCUGUCUGUGGCACAAAUCCCUCCUGAGAAGCAGUUUUACCCGAGUCAACUUGCACGUGGCUUGAAAAUGUUCACGUACACCCUCCCUUAGGAGUUUAAUACAUCAGGAACUUAUCCAUAUGUUUUCCUACUUUUUAAAAGCAGAUAUCCUUAUUUUCCCCUCCACCAUGAGACAUCAUUAAUGAAAUACCAGUUAAAAAUAUCUUCCAAAGAUUUAAAUUACCCCAUUAGAGACUCUCCUCCUAAAAUGAACAACAGAAAAGGCACGUAUUAAUUAUUUGAGUUAUGAAAACAGAUCAAACCAUUAUAAGGAAAAAACCAUUUCCUUCUUUAGCAAAGAGCAUGUUUUCCUAUAAAUGUGUUUAUUCAGAGAUGCAAAUAUUCUAAUAAAAUUUUUCCAAAGGUUAAAAAACUAA
Molecule: long non-coding RNA, 1267 nt
Organism: Pseudopipra pipra
Lineage: Eukaryota; Metazoa; Chordata; Aves; Passeriformes; Pipridae
Exons: 2
Source: RefSeq, a predicted model, not a curated record